RNAcentral lists this ribosomal RNA (253 nucleotides) under uncultured prokaryote. Its description in RNAcentral is "partial 16S ribosomal RNA". It matches the Rfam family "Bacterial small subunit ribosomal RNA", at positions 524 to 776 of the family's 1533-position model. The record is from RNAcentral.
UACAGAGGGUGCAAGCGUUAAUCGGAAUUACUGGGCGUAAAGCGCGCGUAGGUGGUUUGUUAAGUUGGAUGUGAAAUCCCCGGGCUCAACCUGGGAACUGCAUCCAAAACUGGCAAGCUAGAGUAGGGCAGAGGGUGGUGGAAUUUCCUGUGUAGCGGUGAAAUGCGUAGAUAUAGGAAGGAACACCAGUGGCGAAGGCGGCUCUUUGGUCUGUAACUGACGCUGAGGCGCGAAAGCGUGGGGAGCGAACAGG